AGGCUUAACACAUGCAAGUCGAGGGGCAGCAUGGUCUUAGCUUGCUAAGGCCGAUGGCGACCGGCGCACGGGUGAGUAACACGUAUCCAACCUGCCGUCUACUCUUGGACAGCCUUCUGAAAGGAAGAUUAAUACAAGAUGGCAUCAUGAGUCCGCAUGUUCACAUGAUUAAAGGUAUUCCGGUAGACGAUGGGGAUGCGUUCCAUUAGAUAGUAGGCGGGGUAACGGCCCACCUAGUCUUCGAUGGAUAGGGGUUCUGAGAGGAAGGUCCCCCACAUUGGAACUGAGACACGGUCCAAACUCCUACGGGAGGCAGCAGUGAGGAAUAUUGGUCAAUGGGCGAGAGCCUGAACCAGCCAAGUAGCGUGAAGGAUGACUGCCCUAUGGGUUGUAAACUUCUUUUAUAAAGGAAUAAAGUCGGGUAUGGAUACCCGUUUGCAUGUACUUUAUGAAUAAGGAUCGGCUAACUCCGUGCCAGCAGCCGCGGUAAUACGGAGGAUCCGAGCGUUAUCCGGAUUUAUUGGGUUUAAAGGGAGCGUAGAUGGAUGUUUAAGUCAGUUGUGAAAGUUUGCGGCUCAACCGUAAAAUUGCAGUUGAUACUGGAUAUCUUGAGUGCAGUUGAGGCAGGCGGAAUUCGUGGUGUAGCGGUGAAAUGCUUAGAUAUCACGAAGAACUCCGAUUGCGAAGGCAGCCUGCUAAGCUGCAACUGACAUUGAGGCUCGAAAGUGUGGGUAUCAAACAGGAUUAGAUACCCUGGUAGUCCACACGGUAAACGAUGAAUACUCGCUGUUUGCGAUAUACUGCAAGCGGCCAAGCGAAAGCGUUAAGUAUUCCACCUGGGGAGUACGCCGGCAACGGUGAAACUCAAAGGAAUUGACGGGGGCCCGCACAAGCGGAGGAACAUGUGGUUUAAUUCGAUGAUACGCGAGGAACCUUACCCGGGCUUAAAUUGCAGAUGAAUUACGGUGAAAGCCGUAAGCCGCAAGGCAUCUGUGAAGGUGCUGCAUGGUUGUCGUCAGCUCGUGCCGUGAGGUGUCGGCUUAAGUGCCAUAACGAGCGCAACCCUUGUUGUCAGUUACUAACAGGUUCCGCUGAGGACUCUGACAAGACUGCCAUCGUAAGAUGUGAGGAAGGUGGGGAUGACGUCAAAUCAGCACGGCCCUUACGUCCGGGGCUACACACGUGUUACAAUGGGGGGUACAGAGGGCCGCUACCACGCGAGUGGAUGCCAAUCCCCAAAACCUCUCUCAGUUCGGACUGGAGUCUGCAACCCGACUCCACGAAGCUGGAUUCGCUAGUAAUCGCGCAUCAGCCACGGCGCGGUGAAUACGUUCCCGGGCCUUGUACACACCGCCCGUCAAGCCAUGGGAGCCGGGGGUACCUGAAGUGCGUAACCGCGAGGAGCGCCCUAGGGUAAAACUGGUGACUGGGGCUAAGUCA
This 1440-nucleotide ribosomal RNA is filed under the name uncultured bacterium. RNAcentral's name for it is "bacterial SSU rRNA". It matches the Rfam family "Bacterial small subunit ribosomal RNA". The record is from RNAcentral.